This 428-nucleotide ribosomal RNA is filed under the name uncultured bacterium. Its description in RNAcentral is "bacterial SSU rRNA". It matches the Rfam family "Bacterial small subunit ribosomal RNA", at positions 355 to 775 of the family's 1533-position model. The record is from RNAcentral.
UGGGGAAUCUUGCGCAAUGCGCGAAAGCGUGACGCAGCAACGCCGCGUGGGGGAAGAAGGCCUUCGGGUUGUAAACCCCUUUCAGGAGGGACGAAGGUGCGGCGGUGAAUAGCCGUCCGCACUGACGGUACCUCCACAAGAAGCCCCGGCUAACUACGUGCCAGCAGCCGCGGUAAUACGUAGGGGGCUAGCGUUGUCCGGAAUCAUUGGGCGUAAAGCGCGCGUAGGCGGCCCGGUAAGUCCGCUCUGAAAGUCCAGGGCUCAACCCUGGAAAGCGGGUGGAUACUGCCGGGCUAGAAUCCGGAAGAGGCGAGUGGAAUUCCUGGUGUAGCGGUGGAAUGCGCAGAUAUCAGGAGGAACACCAAUAGCGAAGGCAGCUCGCUGGGACGGUAUUGACGCUAAGGCGCGAAAGCGUGGGGAGCAAACAG